AGCUAGCUUUGGUAGUACAAUAUUAAAAUUAGAAUGAUACAUAGAUUAGCAAGACCUCUAUAUAAGGAUGACAUCAACAUCUGUGAAGUGUUUCACAUUUUU
Small nuclear RNA from Microtus oregoni (creeping vole), 102 nucleotides. The record is from RefSeq and is a predicted model, not a curated record. Lineage: Eukaryota; Metazoa; Chordata; Mammalia; Rodentia; Cricetidae.